GGCCGUCUGGCGCAAUGGCAGCGCGUCCGCCUACGAUUCAUGUCUCGGUCAGGGGUCGAACCUGAAAGCGGGAGGUUGCAGGUUCAACCCCUGCGUCGGUCA
Tulasnella sp. 427 is the source of this 102-nucleotide non-coding RNA. The record is from the annotation of a GenBank genome assembly. Lineage: Eukaryota; Fungi; Basidiomycota; Agaricomycetes; Cantharellales; Tulasnellaceae.